CUCUUCCCAUUCCGAACAGAGAAGUUAAGCCCGCCAGAGCCGAUGGUACUGCAGUAAAAUGUGGGAGAGUAGGUCGGUGCCAUCC
RNAcentral lists this ribosomal RNA (85 nucleotides) under Mucilaginibacter pallidiroseus. The record is from RNAcentral. Lineage: Bacteria; Pseudomonadati; Bacteroidota; Sphingobacteriia; Sphingobacteriales; Sphingobacteriaceae.